GGUAGCUAUUUUACUGUGGUAGUCGACGUGUUUACUGUUGAGUCAUCGACGUACAUAGACACGCAGGCUUUGUUCAAGCUCAGUGGACGGUCAUUUGUAAAAACAGGAAACAGUAAUGGCCCUAGCCGGCUGCCCUGCGGUAAACAACACUCAACUGAAUUUGCAUUAAAGAGGAUUCCAUUAACGAGAACCCUAUGUGUUCUAAUAUAUACAGUUUAGCCUUAGCCAAAUACAUUUAAACUCCUUUUUUUUCACAAUUCCUGACAUUUAAUCCUAGUAAAAAAAUCCCUGAAGUGCACCAGUCCCUCCUGCAGCAAAGCACCCCCACAACAUGAUGCUGCCACGCCCGUGCUUCACGGUUGGGAUGGUGUUCUUCGGCUUGCAAGCUUCCCCUUUUUUCCUCCAAACAUAACGAUGGUCAUUAUGGCCAAACAGUUGUAUUUUUGUUUCACCAGACCAGAGGACAUUUCUCCAAAAAGUACAAUAUUUGUCCCCAUGUGCAGUUGUAAACUGUAGUCUGUCUUUUUUAUGGCGGUUUUGGAGCAGUGGCUUCUUCCUUGCUGAGCGGCCUUUCAGGUUAUGUCGAUAUAGGACUCAUUUUACUGUGGAUAUAGAUACUUUUGUACCUGUGUCCUUCAGCAUCUUCACAAGGUCCUUUGCUGUUGUUCUGGUGUUCUACAAUUUUUCUUCUGAGGUCUUGGCUGAUUUCUUUUGAUUUUCCCAUGAUGUCAAGCAAAGAGGCACUGAGUUUGAAGUCCAACAGGAGUGUGUCCCCCCUCAGGCCAUCCGGUACACAGACAUCCUGUUCCAGUGGGAUCUGAACGCGAGCGUCCAGUUGUGAAGACUACAGGAGAUCGAGCCUGUGGACGUACAGUCCUCCCGGGUUUUUGACCCUUGCCUGCCUUGACUCUGAACCCGCCUGCCCUGACCUCGAGCCCGCCUGCCCUGACCUCGAGCCCGCCUGCCCUGACCUCGAGCCCGCCUGCCCUGACCUCGAGCCCGCCUGCCCUGACCUCGAGCCCGCCUGACCUGACCUCGAGCCCGCCUGACCUGACCUCGAGCCCGCCUGACCUGACCUCGAGCCCGCCUGCCCUGA
This 1096-nucleotide long non-coding RNA is filed under the name Salmo salar (Atlantic salmon). RNAcentral describes it as "lncRNA (ENSSSAG00000117678.1)". Lineage: Eukaryota; Metazoa; Chordata; Actinopteri; Salmoniformes; Salmonidae. The record is from RNAcentral.